RNAcentral lists this ribosomal RNA (465 nucleotides) under uncultured bacterium. RNAcentral describes it as "partial 16S ribosomal RNA". It matches the Rfam family "Bacterial small subunit ribosomal RNA", at positions 28 to 507 of the family's 1533-position model. The record is from RNAcentral.
GACGAACGCUGGCGGCGUGCUUAACACAUGCAAGUCGUACGGUAAGGCCCUUUCGGGGGUACACGAGUGGCGAACGGGUGAGUAACACGUGAGUAACCUGCCCACAACUUUGGGAUAACGCUAGGAAACUGGUGCUAAUACUGGAUAUGUGCUCCUGCCGCAUGGUGGGGGUUGGAAAGCUCCGGCGGUUGUGGAUGGACUCGCGGCCUAUCAGCUUGUUGGUGGGGUAGUGGCCUACCAAGGCGGCGACGGGUAGCCGGCCUGAGAGGGUGACCGGCCACAUUGGGACUGAGAGACGGCCCAGACUCCUACGGGAGGCAGCAGUGGGGAAUAUUGCACAAUGGGCGCAAGCCUGAUGCAGCAACGCCGCGUGCGGGAUGACGGCCUUCGGGUUGUAAACCGCUUUCAGCAGGGACGAAGCUUUUUGUGACGGUACCUGCAGAAGAAGCACCGGCUAACUACGUG